GUUUGCGAAGCUUGGAACUUCCUCCAGCUCCUCCUGCAGCUGCUGAAACACCGGAUACCAGAUUGAGAGUUGACACUGAUCGAACAUUGUUGCCAGAAGUUGGAUGAGGCAGAAGACUGUUCCCAGACAUUGACCCAUCUUGCCACACUGUGUUAAUGGUUCCACCAUUCCCAAGAUCCUGUGCAAGCUUCAGACUUGCCAACACAACGAUCUCAUUGUUCUGGUAAGUUGCAGACAAACCAGAGACAUUGAAACUCAGAUCACCCUCUAGUAGACUCGUCUGGUAGCUUCUGAUGGGAGAAGUGUAAACCCUGACAGUACCAUCUGAUUGUGGAUAAGCAACGAUGGCUUGAGCUCCCACCAUUCCCGUAGACGUUGGGUUCACAGCCCAAGCAACCCAUUUACCAGAGGUGAGCUUAGUGUGGCGAUAAGCAAUGUGGAGGCUCCCGGUGGAAGACUCGUAAGUGUAAUGGAGGAAGGAAUCAAGAAAAGGAAGAUCGUUGCAAGAGUCAAAGACAUUGUUGCUGGAGAACUUGUAUUUAGAACAUGUCUGAGCAAAGGAAAGAGUAGUCAUGGAUAUGGAGAGGAUAAGAGAGAGACAGAGGAUUUGAUUCAAGAACUUCAUAAUGGACAUAUGAUUACUCAUGAAUCAGAA
This is a long non-coding RNA of Arabidopsis thaliana (thale cress), 655 nucleotides long. RefSeq annotates it as other RNA. The record is from RefSeq. The transcript has a single exon. NCBI's taxonomy places the organism in Eukaryota, Viridiplantae, Streptophyta, Magnoliopsida, Brassicales, Brassicaceae.